Molecule: ribosomal RNA, 484 nt
Filed under: uncultured bacterium
Lineage: Bacteria
Description: partial 16S ribosomal RNA
Rfam family: Bacterial small subunit ribosomal RNA
Source: RNAcentral
AUUGAACGCUGGCGGCAGGCCUAACACAUGCAAGUCGAGCGGAUGAAGGGAGCUUGCUCCUGGAUUCAGCGGCGGACGGGUGAGUAAUGCCUAGGAAUCUGCCUGGUAGUGGGGGAUAACGUCCGGAAACGGGCGCUAAUACCGCAUACGUCCUGAGGGAGAAAGUGGGGGAUCUUCGGACCUCACGCUAUCAGAUGAGCCUAGGUCGGAUUAGCUAGUUGGUGGGGUAAAGGCCUACCAAGGCGACGAUCCGUAACUGGUCUGAGAGGAUGAUCAGUCACACUGGAACUGAGACACGGUCCAGACUCCUACGGGAGGCAGCAGUGGGGAAUAUUGGACAAAGGGCGAAAGCCUGAUCCAGCCAUGCCGCGUGUGUGAAGAAGGUCUUCGGAUUGUAAAGCACUUUAAGUUGGGAGGAAGGGCAGUAAGUUAAUACCUUGCUGUUUUGACGUUACCAACAGAAAAAGCACCGGCUAACUUCGUG